CAGCAGCCGCGGGAAAACGAAGGGGGCUAGCGUUGUUCGGAAUUACUGGGCGUAAAGCGCACGUAGGCGGAUAUUUAAGUCAGGGGUGAAAUCCCAGAGCUCAACUCUGGAACUGCCUUUGAUACUGGGUAUCUUGAGUAUGGAAGAGGUGAGUGGAAUUCUGAGUGUAGAGGUGAAAUUCGUAGAUAUUCGGAGGAACACCAGUGGCGAAGGCGGCUCACUGGUCCAUUACUGACGCUGAGGUGCGAAAGCGUGGGGAGCAAACAGGAUUAGAUACCCCGGUAGUCCCUGUCUCUUAUAC
This 301-nucleotide ribosomal RNA is filed under the name uncultured bacterium. Its description in RNAcentral is "partial 16S ribosomal RNA". It matches the Rfam family "Bacterial small subunit ribosomal RNA", at positions 509 to 807 of the family's 1533-position model. The record is from RNAcentral.